CCGCACUUUGUUUUGCCAAAAUUGGUCCAGCGAUUCUCCCGCAACCCGCACUGAAAGUUUUGGUUACCUCCUGGUUCAUGGACUCCAUCUCCCAUGAUCCCUCACGUCGGCUUCCUGCUGUCUGCUCACCGCCCUCCUGCCCUUGCUCACUCCCCGAAUCCCAACAUGUACGCCCACUCCCACAAAGAUAGGAACAACUAGGCCCAGUUACAUCCCCACUGUCCCAAUGCAAACCCCUCCCUAUUCUUUGCUAUGUGAAUGGUGCAGAUGCAGAGCUCCAUUUCACAGCCAGAAGCUUGCGGCGCUUACUUUACACACUACGCAUGCAUGUGGAGCGGUCCCUGAUUUGGCCACUGCUCUUUCUCUGACAUCAUUGAAGUGACCACACUGCAGCGCAAUUGGCCGGCAUAGAAAGAGGGGACCGCGGCACGCACAGCCAAUCACAGAUGAGCAGGGAUGAAUAUUCAAUAGGUGGGAGUGCAUGAAAACCGGGAGGUCAGGGAGAAAAAAGACGCGGAGCAUGCCGGGUAAGGAAGGGAUUCGACCACAAGAUGGCCGCCGCAAUAGAAACUAAUAGUGGUCGAAAAACUGAGUAACUGAGCACCUAUUGAACAUCUGGUAGGAAGACAAAAUGCAGGGGAGAAGACGAGCGCUGCAAUAUUGACAAUAGGAUGAGGAUCUGCUGACAAAUUAGGGAACAAAUGAUGUCCGGGCGUUAGACUCUGCAGAGAAGAUGUAACUGGAAGACGUCCUGACGUCCGGACAAGAUGAGGAAGAAAAGGAAAGACAACAGAGAAGACGUCACUCAGGUUUUAACAUCCAACACUAUUACUAGUGUCUGUAUAGAUAGUGGGAGUCCGGAAGGAAUAAUAUCAUGGCAUGCUCUGAUACAAGAUGAAAAGCACUCCGAGAAUGGAUGGAGGAGCGUCCAGAAACAAGAAAAAAGAGAGAGAAAAGGAGAUAACACUGUGAUUGGAAUGAUUUUUAAUUAUCCUCUCUUACUUUUUCUAGGUUCCCUUUUUCUUUCCCCUUUUCCCCCUUUCUCCCCCCCCCCCCCCUUCCUUUUUCCCUCUUCCCUCCCCUUUUUUCCUACCCCUCAUCCCUUUUUCUCCCUUUUAUUUUCUUUCUUAUUCUUCUCUAUACACUGUAUGGGGUUUGUUUAUGGAUUGCAUAUUAGUUUUUUGGUGAUAUUGUGAUGGGGUAGCACUAAUCUCUUUAUAUAUUAUAUUUUUAAUAAAAAUUUUCUGGUAUGUAAAUGGGAUAUUAUUAAUUGUUUUUUGAGUCACUGUCAUAUUAAUUGCUCUGUAUUGUUAUGUAAAAAAUUAUGAAUUAUGUAUAGUUAUUAUUAUAUUUGUAAUUUGAUACACUGAAGAAUUUACAUUGCACUGUAAUGUUGUGUAUAUAAUCAUGAAUUUUGUAUAUUUGCUAAAUUGCACUUUGUCAAAGCAUAUAUCUAUUAUUGCACUGUACAUUGUGUAAAUAAUUAUGAAAUUUUGAAUGGCAUUCUAAUAUAGCACAUUUGUCACUUUAAUAAUUGGCACGUUUCGGGUUGGUGGCGAUAGGAUGCACAGUAUGGCACUUUCUUAUUACUUAGCUGGACGCUUGAUUCCAAUGUGCACAUGCGCACCGUCGCACGGACCGGCGCCGUCGCUCCCCUUUGUCAGUGGAACGCAGACCGUCGUCCCACGUCAUUAUGACGUGGUUACGCCGUUCUGUGGGAUGACAUGGGGGGGAGACUGCGUGAUCCCAGCCAGUGACGUGGCGCAUGUGCCGGAUAUGGAGGCAGAGCGAUAGGAAGUCAGAUGAGCAUGCCGGAAGUGUGACUCACGCUUACCCCAUAUAAAAGACAGACACAUACACAGCAACAGUAGCAUCCUGAGGAAGGAGCGAAAGCGUGCUCGGGGUCCAGGCACAGCACCAGCAGCACACAUGGGUAAGCAGCUUGGAAGUUACUACUUGUUAUGAGGAGGACUCCUAUUAGGGAAUGAUAUAGUGCCAUACUAUGUACCUAUCUGCAUCCAGCCCCAGUGCAAUAUCAAGACUCAUGAUGCUGUGUGUUGCAAUUGGCGCAACCUAUAUUUGAUACAUACAUUCUGGCAUAUUUUGUUAUGUGGUGCUAGCCCUGGUAGUUUUUUAUGUCUGUAACUCUGUGAACAUCACUAUAUAAGAUAUAUAUGUUUU
Molecule: long non-coding RNA, 2181 nt
Organism: Hyla sarda
Lineage: Eukaryota; Metazoa; Chordata; Amphibia; Anura; Hylidae
Exons: 3
Source: RefSeq, a predicted model, not a curated record